GGUCCAGUAGCUCAGGGGAUAGAGCGGCCGCCUCCUAAGCGGCAGGUCGGCAGUUCGAUUCUGCCCUGGAUCA
RNAcentral lists this transfer RNA (73 nucleotides) under Treponema sp. Its description in RNAcentral is "tRNA-Arg". It matches the Rfam family "tRNA". From Rfam's summary of the family: Transfer RNA (tRNA) molecules are approximately 80 nucleotides in length. Their secondary structure includes four short double-helical elements and three loops (D, anti-codon, and T loops). The record is from RNAcentral. Lineage: Bacteria; Pseudomonadati; Spirochaetota; Spirochaetia; Treponematales; Treponemataceae.